Molecule: non-coding RNA, 417 nt
Organism: Pteronotus mesoamericanus
Lineage: Eukaryota; Metazoa; Chordata; Mammalia; Chiroptera; Mormoopidae
Source: the annotation of a RefSeq genome assembly
AUGACACUGCUGGGUCUCUUCCUGUGCUUGGUAACAGCACUGCAUGGAGUCCUGUCCCAGGUGCAGCUUCAGGAAUCUGGCCCAGGACUGGCGAAGCCCUUACAGACCCUCUCCCUCACCUGCACAGUCUCUGGAUUCUCUUUAAUGAGCUAUGCUGUUGGCUGGUCCCGCCAGGCUCCAGGGAAGGGGCUGGAGUGGAUUGGUGCUAUAUGGAGGGAUGGAAGCACAAGCUACAACCCAGCACUGAAAUCCCAACUCAGCAUCACCAGGGACACCUCUAAGAGCCAAGUCUAUUUGACACUGAACAACCUGAGAGCAGAUGACACGGCCGUGUAUUACUGUACAGGAGGCACAAACUACACCACCAACUCCAAGAGAAGAAAUGUGCCAGGGACCCAGAAGAACGUGGGGCUGUGA